GAUGAAGAACGCAGCGAAAUGCGAUACUUGGUGUGAAUUGCAGAAUCCCGUGAACCAUCGAGUCUUUGAACGCAAGUUGCGCCCGAAGCCAUUAGGCCGAGGGCACGCCUGCCUGGGUGUCACACGUCGUUGCCCCCCCAUCUACUCCUUCGGGAUUGCGGGGGGCGGAUGAUGGCCUCCCGUGCGCCUCGUCGCGCGGUUGGCAUAAAUGCCAAGUCCUCGGCGACGCACGCCACGACAAUCGGUGGUUGCGAAACCUCGGUUGCCCGUCGUGUGCGGUCGUCGCGCAUCGAGGGCUCGAAAAAAUUGCCGGGCUCCGGCUCGGCUUUCAACGCGACCCCAGGUCAGGCGGGGUUACCCGCUGAAUUUAAGCAUAUCAAUAAGCGGAGGAA
RNAcentral lists this unclassified non-coding RNA (392 nucleotides) under soil metagenome. Its description in RNAcentral is "partial contains 5.8S ribosomal RNA, internal transcribed spacer 2, and large subunit ribosomal RNA". The stretch from base 1 to 122 matches the Rfam family "5.8S ribosomal RNA", at positions 35 to 154 of the family's 154-position model. The record is from RNAcentral.